This 253-nucleotide ribosomal RNA is filed under the name uncultured bacterium. RNAcentral's name for it is "partial 16S ribosomal RNA". It matches the Rfam family "Bacterial small subunit ribosomal RNA", at positions 524 to 776 of the family's 1533-position model. The record is from RNAcentral.
GACAGAGGGGGCAAGCGUUGCUCGGAAUCACUGGGCGUAAAGGGCGCGUAGGCGGGAUGGCAAGUCGGUCGUGAAAUCCUUCGGCUCAACCGAAGAACGUCGGCCGAUACUGCCGUUCUUGAGGGAUGCAGAGGAGAUUGGAAUUCCCGGUGUAGCGGUGAAAUGUGUAGAGAUCGGGAGGAACACCGGUGGCGAAGGCGGUUCUCUGGGCCUGUACUGACGCUGAGGAGCGAAAGCGUGGGGAGCGAACAGG